AGUGAACGCUGGCGGUAGGCCUAACACAUGCAAGUCGAACGGCAGCACAGGAGAGCUUGCUCUCUGGGUGGCGAGUGGCGGACGGGUGAGGAAUACAUCGGAAUCUACCUUUUCGUGGGGGAUAACGUAGGGAAACUUACGCUAAUACCGCAUACGACCUUCGGGUGAAAGCAGGGGACCUUCGGGCCUUUCGCGGAUAGAUGAGCCGAUGUCGGAUUAGCUAGUUGGCGGGGUAAAGGCCCACCAAGGCGACGAUCCGUAGCUGGUCUGAGAGGAUGAUCAGCCACACUGGAACUGAGACACGGUCCAGACUCCUACGGGAGGCAGCAGUGGGGAAUAUUGGACAAUGGGCGCAAGCCUGAUCCAGCCAUACCGCGUGGGUGAAGAAGGCCUUCGGGUUGUAAAGCCCUUUUGUUGGGAAAGAAAAGCAACCAGUUAAUACCUGGUUGUUCUGACGGUACCCAAAGAAUAGGCACCGGCUAACUUCGUGCCAGCCGCCGCAGUAA
RNAcentral lists this ribosomal RNA (506 nucleotides) under uncultured bacterium. Its description in RNAcentral is "partial 16S ribosomal RNA". It matches the Rfam family "Bacterial small subunit ribosomal RNA", at positions 29 to 523 of the family's 1533-position model. The record is from RNAcentral.